AGUGAACGCUGGCGGUAGGCCUAACACAUGCCAGUCGAACGGCAGCACAGUAAGAGCUUGCUCUUACGGGUGGCGAGUGGCGGACGGGUGGGGAAUACAUCGGAAUCUACUUUUUCGUGGGGGAUAACGUAGGGAAACUUACGCUAAUACCGCAUACGACCUACGGGUGAAAGCAGGGGAUCUUCGGACCUUGCGCGAUUGAAUGAGCCGAUGUCGGAUUAGCUAGUUGGCGGGGUAAAGGCCCACCAAGGCGACGAUCCGUAGCUGGUCUGAGAGGAUGAUCAGCCACACUGGAACUGAGACACGGUCCAGACUCCUACGGGAGGCAGCAGUGGGGAAUAUUGGACAAUGGGCGCAAGCCUGAUCCAGCCAUACCGCGUGGGUGAAGAAGGCCUUCGGGUUGUAAAGCCCUUUUGUUGGGAAAGAAAAGCAGCAGGUUAAUACCCCGCUGUUCUGACGGUACCCAAAGAAUAGGCACCGGCUAACUUCGUG
This 492-nucleotide ribosomal RNA is filed under the name uncultured bacterium. RNAcentral's name for it is "partial 16S ribosomal RNA". It matches the Rfam family "Bacterial small subunit ribosomal RNA", at positions 29 to 507 of the family's 1533-position model. The record is from RNAcentral.